GAUUUUUUUCUUAGUGUAUACGAGUUUUUAAAAAGAAAGGAGCAAUAUCAAUCCUCUUGAUAAAAAAAGAGAUUGGUUAUUGCUCCUUUAAUACUAAUUUAAUAGUAAUUUUGCUUACAUAAGCAUAAGUUUUUUUUACUUCAAUUUCAUAAAAAAAUCUGAUUAAUUUAUGAUUAUGUAUUGUUUUUUACGUUUUUGAAUUUUAAUUAGAAUAUCUAGGCUCUGAACAAUUAUUUUUAUUAAUAUUUAAUAUCUAAAAAAUAAAAAAAUUUAAUAUCUAAAAAAGUAAAUCUUAGAGGG
Molecule: unclassified non-coding RNA, 300 nt
Filed under: Tamarix hampeana
Lineage: Eukaryota; Viridiplantae; Streptophyta; Magnoliopsida; Caryophyllales; Tamaricaceae
Description: trnH-psbA intergenic spacer
Source: RNAcentral